CGCGAAUCGCCCUUCCAGCAGGCGCGAAAACUUUACAAUGCCGGCAACGGCGAAUAGGGAACCUCGAGUGCCAGGUUACAAAUCUGGCUGUCGUGAUGCCUAAAAAGCAUUGCAUAGCAAGGGCCGGGCAAGACCGGUGCCAGCCGCCGCGGUAACACCGGCGGCUCGAGUGGUAACCGUUAUUAUUGGGUCUAAAGGGUCUGUAGCCGGCCGGGUAAGUCUCUUGGGAAAUCUGGCAGCUUAACUGUCAGGCUUUCAGGAGAUACUGCCUGGCUCGAGGCCGGGAGAGGUGAGAGGUACUUCAGGGGUAGGGGUGAAAUCUUGUAAUCCUUGAAGGACCACCAGUGGCGAAGGCGUCUCACCAGAACGGACCUGACGGCAAGGGACGAAAGCUAGGGGCACGAACCGGAUUAGAUACCCGGGUAGUCCUAGCCGUAAACGAUACUCGCUAGGUGUCGGCCACGGUGCGACCGUGGUCGGUGCCGUAGGGAAGCCGUGAAGCGAGCCACCUGGGAAGUACGGCCGCAAGGCUGAAACUUAAAGGAAUUGGCGGGGGAGCAC
This 561-nucleotide ribosomal RNA is filed under the name uncultured archaeon. RNAcentral describes it as "bacterial SSU rRNA". It matches the Rfam family "Archaeal small subunit ribosomal RNA", at positions 317 to 879 of the family's 1478-position model. The record is from RNAcentral.